This 253-nucleotide ribosomal RNA is filed under the name uncultured bacterium. RNAcentral describes it as "partial 16S ribosomal RNA". It matches the Rfam family "Bacterial small subunit ribosomal RNA", at positions 524 to 776 of the family's 1533-position model. The record is from RNAcentral.
UACGAAGGGUGCAAGCGUUGUUCGGAAUUACUGGGCGUAAAGAGCGCGCAGGCGGUCGUUCAAGUCGCGUGUGAAAGCCCCCGGCUCAACUGGGGAGGGUCACGCGAUACUGAUCGACUGGAAGGCAGGAGAGGGUAGUGGAAUUCCCGGUGUAGUGGUGAAAUGCGUAGAUAUCGGGAGGAACACCAGUGGCGAAGGCGACUACCUGGCCUGUUCUUGACGCUGAGGCGCGAAAGCUAGGGGAGCAAACGGG